UACGGGGGAUGCAAGCGUUAUCCGGAAUCAUUGGGCGUAAAGCGCCUGUAGGUUGUUUAAUAAGUCUGUUGUUAAAGACUAGGGCUCAACCCUAGAAAAGCAAUGGAUACUACUAGACUAGAGUAUGGCAGGGGUAGAGGGAAUUUCUAGUGUAGCGGUGAAAUGCGUAGAUAUUAGAAAGAACACCGGUGGCGAAAGCGCUCUACUGGACCAUUACUGACACUCAGAGGCGAAAGCUAGGGUAGCAAAAGGGAUUAGAUACCCCUGUAGUCCUAGCCGUAAACGAUGGAUACUAGAUGUUGCGUUUUUAAUGCAGUGUGGUAGCUAACGCGUUAAGUAUCCCGCCUGGGGAGUACGGUCGCAAGGCUG
Molecule: ribosomal RNA, 369 nt
Filed under: uncultured phototrophic eukaryote
Lineage: Eukaryota
Description: SSU rRNA
Rfam family: Bacterial small subunit ribosomal RNA
Source: RNAcentral